AUUUUACAAAGCUCUAGAUCUAUAAGAAAAUCAACAACGGCUUGGUGAAGAAAGAAGUGACUACUGUGCAGUGAGAGAGGACUGUGGCAUUUAAAAUUCCCCACCUACCACCCCCUAAAAACCACACUGCCUUAAAGAUGGCUCUUGUCAUCCUGGUGCGUUUUGUGAGUUCCGGAGGGGGAAAUAUGGAGUAACUCUCAAAAGAAUUGUGGUUGUCAAUUUUGACCUCUCUGGAGGCUCCCUGAAAGAUAUCAAACUGAGAUCAAAGGAACCCAACUUCAUCACACAUCUCUUCUCCGGAUUUCAAUUUUUACUUGAUCAUGUCUUCCCAUAUUAGAUCUUUUCCACUCAGUUUUUUGUCUCCAGCAUUUUCUCAAGCUAUCAUCUUGUUUGGAGGUAUCAUGGAUUCAGGAUCCAUGCCUAAG
Long non-coding RNA from Bos taurus (domestic cattle), 425 nucleotides. NCBI's taxonomy places the organism in Eukaryota, Metazoa, Chordata, Mammalia, Artiodactyla, Bovidae. The record is from Ensembl.